Molecule: long non-coding RNA, 1193 nt
Organism: Oncorhynchus kisutch (coho salmon)
Lineage: Eukaryota; Metazoa; Chordata; Actinopteri; Salmoniformes; Salmonidae
Exons: 3
Source: RefSeq, a predicted model, not a curated record
GUGGGUGAUUAUCUAUGUUGAUUGCUUGUGUCAUCACAGUUCUCAUUUAGCUUCACGGUUGUUAUUUGUUUUUGUAUUCAGUGUUCAGUACUUUCUUUAAUUAAAUAUUGAGAUGAACACAAACCACGCCGCGUUUUGGUCUGCCUUUCCUUCAACAGAAGAAUCCCGUGACAAGUAGGAUCUGCAGACAGCACUUCGCAGUGGCAGACUUCACGAUGAAGGGCACUUUCGACCAACCAAGAGUUUUCAAAUGGAAAGGAGUCAUAGGCCUACGUUGAAGCCCUCUGCUUAUGCCGCUAUUUACAAUUUCGAGGGUUAUGGUGUAGGGGUUACCGACCGACCAUUAUCAAACAUCGCUGACUUCGGAGUCAACCAAAAGCGACUGAAUGGAGGAGUCUACACGAGUCAAUGCAAUGGAGCCUGAGGUUUCACCCUGGUUCUAAGCAGAGGAGGAAAGAACGGUUAGUACAGCAUGCCAAACUGACCUCUGGGUGCCAGAGUGUUCCUGUGCUGCGGUGAAGAGGUCCACCGGGACCAUCACUAAAGAGCUCAGGGCCCAGCUAGAUUGCACUCACAACCAUCAGCAUCAGUCCUGCCCCUAUACACCACAGAUGGAGCUGACGGAGAGAGAGAUCAGUGAAGACCAUAACUCGAUGUAUGAACCUGAGAGCUCAGAAUCACAAUCUUCACCUCAUCCUGAGGUGUUGAACUGUUGCACCCUCUAUAACCACUGUGGUUCUUAUUUUGAUGUAAAAAAGGGCUUUUGUAAAAUGCAUUUGAUUGAUUGUUUGCUGUGCUGGAUGCUGUGUAUUCACUAACACCCUGAGUGAUGGGACAUUUGUAUAGUAUCUGUAACAUAUUUCGGUGUGUAUUUAAUCUCCAUCUUAACGUCUUAAAGUGGCAAUCAGCAGUAGAAACAAUAACAAAGUGUCUCCCUGCUCCUCUUUCGGUAAAAAGCUGAGGGACGGGGCUGGAGAAAUAUAACCACUCUCAAAUUCAUAGACAGAGCUAUAGAUGCAAGGACUGACCAUCCAUUGACUGUAUGUUUUGUUUAUUCCAUGUGUAACUCUGUAUGUGUCAAAUUGCUAAGCUUUAUCUUGGCCAGGUCGCCGUUGCAAAUGAGAGCUUGUUCUCAACUAGCCUACCUGGUUAAAGGUGAAAUAAAAAAUAAAUCCAUGAUAUCAAAAUUGCAA